Molecule: transfer RNA, 69 nt
Filed under: Gryllus veletis
Lineage: Eukaryota; Metazoa; Arthropoda; Insecta; Orthoptera; Gryllidae
Description: tRNA-Met
Source: RNAcentral
AGAUAGAAUUUUUUCUUAAUGAAAUGUGUUCAUCAAAAACAGAUUUAAAUAAUAAUCCUUUUCUUUUUA